Molecule: ribosomal RNA, 510 nt
Filed under: uncultured bacterium
Lineage: Bacteria
Description: partial 16S ribosomal RNA
Rfam family: Bacterial small subunit ribosomal RNA
Source: RNAcentral
GACGAACGCUGGCGGCGUGCUUAACACAUGCAAGUCGAACGAAGAGCGAUGGAAGCUUGCUUCUAUCAAUCUUAGUGGCGAACGGGUGAGUAACGCGUAAUCAACCUGCCCUUCAGAGGGGGACAACAGUUGGAAACGACUGCUAAUACCGCAUACGAUCCAAUCUCGGCAUCGGGACUGGAUGAAAGGUGGCCUCUAUUUAUAAGCUAUCACUGAAGGAGGGGAUUGCGUCUGAUUAGCUAGUUGGAGGGGUAACGGCCCACCAAGGCGAUGAUCAGUAGCCGGGCUGGGAGGAUGAACGGCCACAUUGGGACUGAGACACGGCCCAGACUCCUACGGGAGGCAGCAGUGGGGGAUCUUCCGCCAUGGACGAAAGUCUGACGGAGCAACGCCGCGUGAGUGAUGACGGCCUUCGGGUUGUAAAGCUCUGUUAAUCGGGACGAAUGGUUCUUGUGCGAAUAGUGCGAGGAUUUGACGGUACCGGAAUAGAAAGCCACGGCUAACUACGUG